Molecule: long non-coding RNA, 1214 nt
Organism: Alligator mississippiensis (American alligator)
Lineage: Eukaryota; Metazoa; Chordata; Crocodylia; Alligatoridae
Exons: 2
Source: RefSeq, a predicted model, not a curated record
GCUGCAGCCAAUAAAUGGAUUGGCAGGGUUACGCAGUUAAGCAAAUUAUGCACUUAUCUGGUAUGCAUGGACAUGGAGUACACAGCACAACUACUGUCAGCAGUGUGCACCCACCAAUGUUUUUAAGUGGCAGUAAUACAAGGGGGAUGCAUUUCAGUUGGGUGCAUAGCCUCUCCCAAAGGCUGAUAACCAGUGGUGACAGAUUGCAGGGCAGUAGGUUUACAUCCCUUGGUCAGCAAGUUUAAGUAUGGUUUAUCAAAAUGUAGGGCAUGCAUAAAAGCUAACUAUGGAAGAUUCAGCCAGGUCUCAUUCAGUUUCUGCAACAGAAAUGUAAUAGCUGCAAAGGCUCACUUAGCUGCAACCUGAGUAGGCAGCAAAAAGUUUGCAGAGAGUGCAAUAGCUUUUCCAGGCAGGACAGUAUGCUAUGCACAGUGCAUGCUUUUUAUUUGAACUGUGACCAGAGCCCCCAUUGCAAACUGAGGGCUCUGAUUGGCUGCUACUGAGCCAUAAGAGCUGAGGGAGGGAAAAGAAGAAUAGAGAAGCUGGAGAAGAGCAAUGCUGGCCUGGAAUGAGGGGCAGACUCAACCCCCUCCUUCCCUGCCUCAGGCAGUGGGGAAUGGCACAGAGACUUGCUGGGGAGCAGACAUCAAGAGGGAAGAGAGCCUGAGUCAUCCCAAGUGAGGCUGAUUCACCACCCAGGCCAGAGCUGUACAAUCAAAUCAGAGACAUGGGUACCCAGGGAAAGAGUGGGGAGAGGCUGAAGGAAACUAGAGAAAAGAAGCCUGUUACCUGUAGUGACUGAUCAGAGACUUGUUCUUUGCUGAAUUACCAACAAGGACCAGAGUUCACUUUCCCCAGAGCAGCAGAAGCCUCCCCUCCUCCAUCUAGUGAUGGAUCAGAGUUAAAGCCAUGUUGCCAUUUAUUGUUAUGGGAAGGGGAUUGUGACCAGAGGGAAAUCAACCUGGGUUAUGGGGGAAGGGGGGGAACUGUUUUAGAGGGUUAUCACCAAUUGACUGUAAUUACUGAGGUUGUUUGAUGCAAGUGGGACCACCCAGUGUGUUGGAAUUAUUCACCCAAUAUUGCAGCUGUACAUUUUAAUUCAAAUUGUUAGUUUUAUUAUUAACUAUUGAUAUUGCAUAGAUAUCAAAAAUAUCUUCUUUUGAUUUAAUCACUUUUUUCUGUAUAUAGCUGUAUAAUAAAGAACCUAACAUGUU